Saccostrea echinata is the source of this 561-nucleotide long non-coding RNA. RefSeq lists it as uncharacterized. The transcript is spliced from 4 exons. Lineage: Eukaryota; Metazoa; Mollusca; Bivalvia; Ostreida; Ostreidae. The record is from RefSeq and is a predicted model, not a curated record.
GGAAGAUAAUGUACCGGCGCCACCGGUACAUUUGGACAGCUGUUUGAACAGCUUGAUAGAAUGAUCAAGAACUUGUUUGACUGAAGAGAUAGAAUGAAAAGGGAAGACCCAAAAGUGUUUUAUAACAGAAUGCGCAAGAUGGUUUGCAUCAUGGUUAUGAAGGAAAAGCUGACAGUAUUUUUGAGACAGCAAGAAAAACAUCAUUGCACACCACCAACUAAUAAGACUCCAAAGGAAUAACAAAGAUUAGAGUUCAAAGAAUGCUGGUACUUGGAUAAAGAUAAUCAGGCAUGGACUUUCAUCUCCCAUGGAUCUUCAGCACCUUUAGGUUACAGUUUUAUAUUUCACUAGAAGAGACUCAUAAAUAAACAAAGGACAGUCAGUUACUACAAAAGAGAAGCAUCGGAGAUUACUGAUAUUUUGUUCAGCAUUAUUUCAUCUUAAAAGAUGUAAACUAUUAAAAUUUUGUUUACAUCUAUCAAUUAAUGAUUUUGAUACAUGUACCAGUAAUUAAUAAUUUUGAUGUGGGAUAAACUGGUAAAAUUGAAUGGAAAAGAAGCA